AUUCCUUUCUUCCUUUCUCUCCACUCCAUCUCCAUCUUUGAACCUCCACUCCUCAUUCUCUGUUUGAUAGUUUAUAGAACUGAGACUGCAGGGUCGUUCCUCGCGACAAGAUCUUCGAUUUCUAUCGAUGAGUUUCUUAUUUGGGAUUGUUUUCCAUUGUCUGAAGUCGAGGUUGAACUUUCGCAAGUUCAAAGAUGCCUUGGGGUUCAUAAAGUUCGAGUCUAUAUUCGAAGGAGAAUGAAUUAGGAGUGAGAGUAUCAGGAGGUCCUGAUUGGAAGAACCAUUUGUUGUUCUAGGAACCUUAUAGGAUUAACCUUGUGGGUGGAGGUUAUCCAUCACAAAUGCCAAAUAUUCCAAGUACUUCUACCUCUAUGCUUGUUAUCCGGAUAACUAAGUCUAAUGGGUCUUUUAUGUUAUGACUUGUUGC
Vigna unguiculata (cowpea) is the source of this 427-nucleotide long non-coding RNA. RefSeq lists it as uncharacterized. Lineage: Eukaryota; Viridiplantae; Streptophyta; Magnoliopsida; Fabales; Fabaceae. The record is from RefSeq and is a predicted model, not a curated record.